This 253-nucleotide ribosomal RNA is filed under the name uncultured bacterium. RNAcentral describes it as "partial 16S ribosomal RNA". It matches the Rfam family "Bacterial small subunit ribosomal RNA", at positions 524 to 776 of the family's 1533-position model. The record is from RNAcentral.
UACGUAUGGUGCAAGCGUUAUCCGGAUUUACUGGGUGUAAAGGGAGCGUAGGCGGCGCGUUAAGUCUGAUGUGAAAACCCGAGGCUCAACCACGGGAGUGCAUUGGAAACUGGCGUGCUGGAGUGCCGGAGAGGUAAGCGGAAUUCCUAGUGUAGCGGUGAAAUGCGUAGAUAUUAGGAGGAACACCAGUGGCGAAGGCGGCUUACUGGACGGCAACUGACGCUGAGGCUCGAAAGCGUGGGGAGCAAAUAGG